This 433-nucleotide ribosomal RNA is filed under the name uncultured bacterium. RNAcentral's name for it is "bacterial SSU rRNA". It matches the Rfam family "Bacterial small subunit ribosomal RNA", at positions 29 to 507 of the family's 1533-position model. The record is from RNAcentral.
AACGAACGCUGGCGGCAGGCCUAACACAUGCAAGUCGAGCGAGACCUUCGGGUCUAGCGGCGGACGGGUGAGUAACGCGUGGGAAUAUGCCCUUCGGUUCGGAAUAGCCCCGGGAAACUGGGAGUAAUACCGGAUACGGUCUACGGACGAAAGAUUUAUCGCCGAAGGAUUAGCCCGCGUUGGAUUAGGUAGUUGGUGGGGUAAUGGCCUACCAAGCCGACGAUCCAUAGCUGGCUUGAGAGGAUGAUCAGCCACACUGGGACUGAGACACGGCCCAGACUCCUACGGGAGGCAGCAGUGGGGAAUCUUAGACAAUGGGGGAAACCCUGAUCUAGCCAUGCCGCGUGAGCGAUGAAGGCCUUAGGGUUGUAAAGCUCUUUCAGCGGGGAAGAUAAUGACUGUACCCGCAGAAGAAGCCCCGGCUAACUCCGUG